RNAcentral lists this ribosomal RNA (506 nucleotides) under uncultured bacterium. Its description in RNAcentral is "partial 16S ribosomal RNA". It matches the Rfam family "Bacterial small subunit ribosomal RNA", at positions 29 to 523 of the family's 1533-position model. The record is from RNAcentral.
AGUGAACGCUGGCGGUAGGCCUAACACAUGCAAGUCGAACGGCAGCACAGGAGAGCUUGCUCUCUGGGCGGCGAGUGGCGGACGGGUGAGGAAUACAUCGGAAUCUACUUUUUCGUGGGGGAUAACGUAGGGAAACUUACGCUAAUACCGCAUACGACCUACGGGUGGAAGCAGGGGACCUUCGGGCCUUGCGCGAUUGAAUGAGCCGAUGUCGGAUUAGCUAGUUGGCGGGGUAAAGGCCCACCAAGGCGACGAUCCGUAGCUGGUCUGAGAGGAUGAUCAGCCACACUGGAACUGAGACACGGUCCAGACUCCUACGGGAGGCAGCAGUGGGGAAUAUUGGACAAUGGGCGCAAGCCUGAUCCAGCCAUACCGCGUGGGUGAAGAAGGCCUUCGGGUUGUAAAGCCCUUUUGUUGGGAAAGAAAUCCAGCUGGCUAAUACCCGGUUGGGAUGACGGUACCCAAAGAAUAAGCACCGGCUAACUUCGUGCCAGCAGCCGCAGUAA